This 1627-nucleotide long non-coding RNA is filed under the name Canis lupus familiaris (dog). Its description in RNAcentral is "lncRNA (ENSCAFG00845025271.1)". The record is from RNAcentral. Lineage: Eukaryota; Metazoa; Chordata; Mammalia; Carnivora; Canidae.
UUUUCUCUCUUCCUUCCUUUCUUUCAGUACUCUUUGAAAUUGCAGUGUCACAAGAAGUCUGAUCUGGUUUCAGCAGCAGAACUAAAGUUACGAUCCCAAACUAACCACAUCAACCCUCAUAUACUAACUGCUGGGACUAUGAUGGUGCAGCCUCUUUGGCAUACAGCUUGGCAGUUUCUCAAAAAGUUUAUACUAUAGAAUUACCAUAAGGUCCAGCAAUCCUACCUCUAGGUAUAAGCCCCAGGGAAAGAAAAACCGGGUAUGUGAACCAAUACCUGCACACGAAUGUACUUAUCAGCACAUUUUGCAAUAGCCCCAAAGUGGAAAUAACCCACAUAUCUACCAACUGAUGGAAUGUAAAACAAAAUGCGGUGUAUCUAUACAAUGGAAUAAUAUUAUUGAACAAUAAAAGGUUGUGAAGUACUGGUACAGCAUGGAUGAGAGUUGGAAACAUUAUGCUAAGUGAAUGAGGCCCCAUACAAAAUGCACAUCAUAUGAUUCCAUUUACAUGAAAUGUCUAGAGUGGGCAAAUCCACAGAGAGAGUGCAGAGUAGUGGUUGCCGAGGGCGGGAGUGAGUAGGGAAUUGGGAAUGGCUGCUAAAGGGGGGAGGGUUUCUUUUUUGGAGUGAUGAAAAUGUCCUGGAAUUAGCGGUAAUGAUUAUACAAUCCUGUGAGUGUAUUAAAAAAUGUUGCAUUUUAUACUUGAAAAUGGUGAAUGCUAUACACAAAUGAUCUCUCAAUUUAAAAACUAAUCACAUCACAGUUCUACAUGUGUACAAAUUUAGGACAAAUAAAAUUACUUUCAAAAUGAACCACACUGUAAUGGCAGCACUUUUGUGACAUUUGUCUUCUCAUUGUUUUCCUGUGCUAUCCAAAAUGCCCUUCAGUGAGUUGCUUUCUGUUAAAAGUCUCAAUAACGUGGGAUGCCUGGGUGGCUCGGUGGUUGAGCAUCUGCCUUCAGCCCAGGGCGUGAUCCCAGGGUCCCGGGGUCAAAUCCCAUAUCGGGCUUCCUGCAUGGGGCCUAAUUCUCCCUCUACCUGUGUCUCUGCCUCUCUCUCUGGGUCUCUCAUGAAUAAAUAAAUAAAAUCUUAAAAAAAAAGUCUCAAUAAUGUUAUGGAAGCCACACUUCUAAAAAGGAGCCAAUGCCCUACUUUACCUUUUUCAGCAUUCUGGCUCUAUCUCUGAAUAAACUUUUUGUUAGUGAAAAAGCAAUUGUUAAUGGUUCAACAUAGUAUAGGUCACUUGUCCAUCUCUGCUUUGAGAGUGCUAGAGAUUAGGGUAAAGCUUUGAAAUUAUUUUAAGUUUUACUCUCCAGGACCAAGAAAAUGCUUGAAAGUCCCCUGGCAAUAUAAACACUCUUCUUCUUCUAGGAGUUCCCAAAGAGCUGUUUUGGGAGGGAGUAGGAGCACUUAGAAAUCAGAGCCCCUCAAUGUCAGAAGUUGUGCAGCUCUGGAUGUUGCAAGCAGAGCUUUGUAGAAGGAUGUGCUUGAACCCGGGAUGGAGGUUGAGGGCCAGCAGCACCUCCCAGUCAGCAUAUAUUAAAAAUGUAUGUGGGUUUCUUUUUUUUUUGGGGGGGGGGUGGGUUGCUCAGUGAGUUAAGCAUCCAACUCUAUUUCAACUCAGUUCU